RNAcentral lists this ribosomal RNA (571 nucleotides) under Paraburkholderia sp. Its description in RNAcentral is "bacterial SSU rRNA". It matches the Rfam family "Bacterial small subunit ribosomal RNA", at positions 72 to 639 of the family's 1533-position model. Lineage: Bacteria; Pseudomonadati; Pseudomonadota; Betaproteobacteria; Burkholderiales; Burkholderiaceae. The record is from RNAcentral.
CACGGGAGCAAUCCUGGUGGCGAGUGGCGAACGGGUGAGUAAUACAUCGGAACGUGUCCUGUAGUGGGGGAUAGCCCGGCGAAAGCCGGAUUAAUACCGCAUACGCUCUACGGAGGAAAGGGGGGGAUCUUNGGACCUCCCGCUACAGGGGCGGCCGAUGGCAGAUUAGCUAGUUGGUGGGGUAAAGGCCUACCAAGGCGACGAUCUGUAGCUGGUCUGAGAGGACGACCAGCCACACUGGGACUGAGACACGGCCCAGACUCCUACGGGAGGCAGCAGUGGGGAAUUUUGGACAAUGGGGGAAACCCUGAUCCAGCAAUGCCGCGUGUGUGAAGAAGGCCUUCGGGUUGUAAAGCACUUUUGUCCGGAAAGAAAACCUCUGGGUUAAUACCCCGGGGGGAUGACGGUACCGGAAGAAUAAGCACCGGCUAACUACGUGCCAGCAGCCGCGGUAAUACGUAGGGUGCAAGCGUUAAUCGGAAUUACUGGGCGUAAAGCGUGCGCAGGCGGUCCGCUAAGACAGAUGUGAAAUCCCCGGGCUUAACCUGGGAACUGCAUUUGUGACUGGCGG